GGUGUAUUUAAUGUAACAGUUAGUUAUUGUAGUAUUGAUGCAACAUGCUAUGGGUCUGGUUGGGGUCAGGGGUCAGGGGUCAGGGUGAGGUAUAUAUCUGUAUGGGUUCAGGUGUAUUUCAUGCUACUCUACUGUGUGUGUGGUGAACCUAUAGGAAAUGUAUCUCCCCCUAGCCUCUAGCCCCUGACCUCUAACCCCGGACCUCUGACCUCUAACCAUUGAUCUCUGAUCUUGAUGACAAUAAAGUUUCUCUUCUGUAGA
Long non-coding RNA from Oncorhynchus nerka (sockeye salmon), 261 nucleotides. RefSeq lists it as uncharacterized. Lineage: Eukaryota; Metazoa; Chordata; Actinopteri; Salmoniformes; Salmonidae. The record is from RefSeq and is a predicted model, not a curated record. The transcript has 2 exons.